UACGUAGGGUGCAAGCGUUGUCCGGAAUUAUUGGGCGUAAAGAGCUCGUAGGCGGUUUGUCGCGUCUGCUGUGAAAAUCCAGGGCUUAACCCUGGACCUGCAGUGGGUACGGGCAGACUGGAGUGCGGUAGGGGAGAUCGGAAUUCCUGGUGUAGCGGUGAAAUGCGCAGAUAUCAGGAGGAACACCGGUGGCGAAGGCGGAUCUCUGGGCCUUACCUGACGCUGAGGCGCGAAAGCUAGGGGAGCAAACAGG
RNAcentral lists this ribosomal RNA (253 nucleotides) under uncultured bacterium. RNAcentral describes it as "partial 16S ribosomal RNA". It matches the Rfam family "Bacterial small subunit ribosomal RNA", at positions 524 to 776 of the family's 1533-position model. The record is from RNAcentral.